This is a long non-coding RNA of Haplochromis burtoni (Burton's mouthbrooder), 2301 nucleotides long. RefSeq lists it as uncharacterized. The transcript is spliced from 4 exons. The record is from RefSeq and is a predicted model, not a curated record. NCBI's taxonomy places the organism in Eukaryota, Metazoa, Chordata, Actinopteri, Cichliformes, Cichlidae.
UUGGAAAAAAAAGGCUUUGAUUUUGCCACCCCAUUUGAUUUCUUUGCCACCCUCAUGCCACCCUAAGAAAAUUUCUCUAGAUCCGCCCCUGUCUGUAAGGCAGGGUUAGGAGAGAUGUGCUCACAUGUUAGUGCCAUACUCAACACAAUUCUGGCAGUUAUAAAUAAACUUUGAUUAGUACAUCUGAUAGCACAGCAACUAUCUGGGAUUAAACUCAAAGAUGUUGAGUUGAUGGGUGGAUGGCUGUGGACCAAAGCACUGUUUUUGCUCUCCAGAUGGACCAGAACGUCAGACAUGAAAUCUAUGGAUAUUUUCUUCAUUGAGAUGAUGAUUGUGUAUUUUUUUUCAGUGAACACCAAGAUAAAAAUAUUUGCUGCCAUUUUAAAUUUCCAAAUUUUCCAAAUGUCAUGAAUAUUGUGAAGAGCCAUGCAGUCUGUGCUGUCUGAUAAGUUUCUGAAUUUAUCUUAUUGGCUCCCAACUUUUUUAAGGGUGGUUUAUAAAACAUCAGAAUUGUACUUUGAUGUGAGAAAUGUAGGGUAAAAACUGUGUGGUAAACACAGCUCUUAGUUGUUCACCUCUUUAUUUUGUCACAUUCAUAGCAUUUUUUACCCGAGCCUUGCAACCUUCAAAAAAUAAAAAACGAAAGCCAAAACAAUGCAGAAAUGUCGGGGAGUUAACAACUAUUCAGUGUGAAAAGGCAUUAUUAAUCCAUUGUGGCAGUAAUUGUGAGACACAGGUGGAUUUCUUAUAUAUGUCUGCACACACUGUGGUAAAAUGUGGUUUCUGCUUUCACUGCGUUCUUACUUUACCCUAUUAGACACGCAGAGGAUAUAUUUCACAUAUGGAAAAACAUGAUUUAACUGUUUUUAAAAAGUCAAAUAGUUUACACUAUUUCGAUUUUGAAAAUAUAUUUUUUCAUUGUUUUUACUACAGACUGCAUAUGGGCAUAGUCCCCCAUUAGGUUUUUAACUCUGCGUACUGAAGAUUCAGCAUUAAUGUUUUGGGGCCUGCCAUGUUAGCUGUUAGUUUUGUUUUUGGAGAGGAGGUGAUAAUAUUAGGGAGAAUGAAGACUCAAGUUAUCAAGUUAGCUAGUUAUACUAGCUAGCAAGGAUCAGUAGCAGGUGGCAUUUAUAAAGUGUAAAGUUGCACCUCAGAUACAUUUGCUAGUUUGUGUAAAGUAACAAGCUAGUAAAGUAAUAGAAUUUUACUCACUAAAACAGAAGCACAGACUUUAGGCAAUUUGUAUCACAGUGGAAGCUAAAUUAUAGGUUGCUUGAUGCUUAAGCAAUUAAAUCUGUUACUUCAAAUCCUAACUGCUGCCUUUCUGUAGAGAGCUUACAUGUUCCCAAUUGGGAGCCUGACUUCCUGCCAUAGUCCAAACACCUUCAUAUUAGACUAUAUUAGCUAUGGAUGGUAAAUGGUAACUGGACUGAAUCUUAUAUAGCGCCUUUCUACUCUCCCAGAGCACUCAAGAGCUUUAUAAAACAUACCACAUUCACCCAUUCACACAAGCACUUUCUUCUUUGCUUGUGUGUUUUCUAUGUUACAUUCACAUGCAUCCAUACUCCAGUAGACACACUGGAGAGCAACUUUGGCACACAGACUGGGGGAGCCAGGGAUCAAAUCACCAACCUUCUGAUCAAUAGAUGACCUCCUCUACAUCGUACCUCCAGCUACCACAGAUCAUCGAAGAGUUCAGACACAUCACCAGUUUCGUUGGUGGAGACAUUCAUGCUGAAACUUGAUGAGUACACACCAGGUCUUUUGCAGCUUAUGCCCACCAAAGGAGGAGCCGCUGGUUCCAAGAUAAGACCUCUGCUGGACACUUUGAAUGACACACAAAGCAUUUAGAAGAAAAGGCACCUCCUUAUCUGCUGCCUCAUUAGCUGCCUCGGGGAAAGACAAGAAGAUCUUUUUCAUGACUGCCAGGAAUGUGAGGAUUACACAGACAAUAAGAUGAAGGUGAUCGUGAUCCACAACAUCAUGGCUGAGGAGGAUCCAUCAGAUGUGUCCAUUGUGAUUGAGGGAAACCAAGUGAUGGAGGGAUGUGGAAGCCGAACAAAGGCAUGUGUACUGCUGAUGGGACUGAUAUAUGCCCUCAACCUCGAAUAUCCGAAGGAGCUGAAGAACUUUUCAAAAACUUUUUUUGGAACUUGACGGGGCCAAACUACUGAAAAAGGUCCCCGGCCUCAAAAAUAAGCUUGUGCAAUGCACACACAUUUCCCCUCUUGUUCCCAGAGGAUCUUUUGUCCAGACAUAGCUUGAGAUAUAUAUAUUAGGGGUGCAACGAUACACAAAAUU